AGAGUUUGAUCAUGGCUCAGAUUGAACGCUGGCGGCGUGCCUAACACAUGCAAGUCGAGCGGUAACAGGUGUAGCAAUACAUGCUGACGAGCGGCGGACGGGUGAGUAACGCUUGGGAAUCUGCCUGAUAGUGGGGGACAACCCGGGGAAACUCGGGCUAAUACCGCAUACGCACUACGGUGGAAAGCCGGGGACCGCAAGGCCUGGCGCUAACAGAUGAGCCCAAGUCGGAUUAGCUAGUUGGUAGGGUAAUGGCCUACCAAGGCGACGAUCCGUAACUGGUCUGAGAGGACGACCAGUCACACCGGAACUGAGACACGGUCCGGACUCCUACGGGAGGCAGCAGUGGGGAAUAUUGGACAAUGGGCGAAAGCCUGAUCCAGCGACGCCGCGUGGGUGAAGAAGGCCUGCGGGUUGUAAAGCCCUUUCGGUGGGGAAGAAAAGCCUCGUUCUAAUACAGCGGGGUCUUGACGUAACCCAUAGAAGAAGCACCGGCUAACUCUGUGCCAGCAGCCGCGGUAAUACAGAGGGUGCGAGCGUUAAUCGGAAUUACUGGGCGUAAAGCGCGCGUAGGCGGCUUUGCAAGUCGGGUGUGAAAUCCCCAGGCUUAACCUGGGAACUGCAUUCGAGACUGCAUUGCUAGAGUAUGGGAGAGGGAAGUGGAAUUUCCGGUGUAGCGGUGAAAUGCGUAGAUAUCGGAAGGAACAUCAGUGGCGAAAGCGACUUCCUGGACCAAUACUGACGCUCAUGUGCGAAAGCGUGGGGAGCAAACAGGAUUAGAUACCCUGGUAGUCCACGCCAUAAACGAUGAGAACUGGAUGUCGGGAGGGUCUGCCUCUCGGUGUCGUAGCUAACGCGUUAAGUUCUCCGCCUGGGGAGUACGGGCCGCAAGGUUGAAACUCAAAUGAAUUGACGG
Molecule: ribosomal RNA, 916 nt
Filed under: uncultured bacterium
Lineage: Bacteria
Description: bacterial SSU rRNA
Rfam family: Bacterial small subunit ribosomal RNA
Source: RNAcentral